This 463-nucleotide ribosomal RNA is filed under the name uncultured bacterium. Its description in RNAcentral is "partial 16S ribosomal RNA". It matches the Rfam family "Bacterial small subunit ribosomal RNA", at positions 28 to 523 of the family's 1533-position model. The record is from RNAcentral.
GACGAACGCUGGCGGCGUGCUUAACACAUGCAAGUCGAGCGGCAACACGGUCUUCGGACUGGUGGCGAGCGGCGGACGGCUGAGUAACGCGUAGGAACGUGCCCCAAAGUGAGGGAUAAGCAUCAGAAAUGGUGUCUAAUACCGCAUGUGGUCUCCGGAUCAAAGCCUUCGGGCGCUAUGGGAACGGCCUGCGUCUGAUUAGCUAGUUGGUGAGGUAACGGCUCACCAAGGCGACGAUCAGUAGCUGGUCUGAGAGGAUGACCAGCCAGACUGGGACCGAGACACGGCCCAGACUCCUACGGUAGGCAGCAGUAGGGAAUCUUCCACAAUGGGCGAAAGCCUGAUGGAGCAACGCCGCGUGCAGGAUGAAUGCCUUCGGGUUGUAAACUGCUUUUGUUAGUGACGAUUAUGACGGUAACUAGCGAAUAAGGAUCGGCUAACUCCGUGCCAGCAGCCGCUGUAA